UGCCCCUGAGGUCUGAGACCUCCGACCUUGUAUUAUUAUUUCAUUACAAUUUUUCUUUUCCUUUUUGUCUUCAAGGAUCAUCCAAUCAAUAAAGUUGAAUUUUUUGUCGUGGGUGGCUUCUCCCUCCUCCCCUUCUUCUCUCUGCUUUUCUUCCUGCGAUGAGCCAUGUUUUGACGCUUUUGCCUUCCACUGGCAGUGUCUUGCA
Molecule: long non-coding RNA, 205 nt
Filed under: Elaeis guineensis (African oil palm)
Lineage: Eukaryota; Viridiplantae; Streptophyta; Magnoliopsida; Arecales; Arecaceae
Description: long non-coding RNA (EGUI_LNC077388)
Source: RNAcentral